GAUGAACGCUGGCGGCGUGCCUAAUACAUGCAAGUCGAGCGAACGGACGAGAAGCUUGCUUCUCUGAUGUUAGCGGCGGACGGGUGAGUAACACGUGGAUAACCUACCUAUAAGACUGGGAUAACUUCGGGAAACCGGAGCUAAUACCGGAUAAUAUUUUGAACCGCAUGGUUCAAAAGUGAAAGACGGUCUUGCUGUCACUUAUAGAUGGAUCCGCGCUGCAUUAGCUAGUUGGUAAGGUAACGGCUUACCAAGGCAACGAUGCAUAGCCGACCUGAGAGGGUGAUCGGCCACACUGGAACUGAGACACGGUCCAGACUCCUACGGGAGGCAGCAGUAGGGAAUCUUCCGCAAUGGGCGAAAGCCUGACGGAGCAACGCCGCGUGAGUGAUGAAGGUCUUCGGAUCGUAAAACUCUGUUAUUAGGGAAGAACAUAUGUGUAAGUAACUGUGCACAUCUUGACGGUACCUAAUCAGAAAGCCACGGCUAACUACGUGCCAGCAGCCGCGGUAAUACGUAGGUGGCAAGCGUUAUCCGGAAUUAUUGGGCGUAAAGCGCGCGUAGGCGGUUUUUUAAGUCUGAUGUGAAAGCCCACGGCUCAACCGUGGAGGGUCAUUGGAAACUGGAAAACUUGAGUGCAGAAGAGGAAAGUGGAAUUCCAUGUGUAGCGGUGAAAUGCGCAGAGAUAUGGAGGAACACCAGUGGCGAAGGCGACUUUCUGGUCUGUAACUGACGCUGAUGUGCGAAAGCGUGGGGAUCAAACAGGAUUAGAUACCCUGGUAGUCCACGCCGUAAACGAUGUGUGCUAAGUGUUAGGGGGUUUCCGCCCCUUAGUGCUGCAGCUAACGCAUUAAGCACUCCGCCUGGGGAGUACGACCGCAAGGUUGAAACUCAAAGGAAUUGACGGGGACCCGCACAAGCGGUGGAGCAUGUGGUUUAAUUCGAAGCAACGCGAAGAACCUUACCAAAUCUUGACAUCCUUUGACAACUCUAGAGAUAGAGCCUUCCCCUUCGGGGGACAAAGUGACAGGUGGUGCAUGGUUGUCGUCAGCUCGUGUCGUGAGAUGUUGGGUUAAGUCCCGCAACGAGCGCAACCCUUAAGCUUAGUUGCCAUCAUUAAGUUGGGCACUCUAAGUUGACUGCCGGUGACAAACCGGAGGAAGGUGGGGAUGACGUCAAAUCAUCAUGCCCCUUAUGAUUUGGGCUACACACGUGCUACAAUGGACAAUACAAAGGGCAGCGAAACCGCGAGGUCAAGCAAAUCCCAUAAAGUUGUUCUCAGUUCGGAUUGUAGUCUGCAACUCGACUACAUGAAGCUGGAAUCGCUAGUAAUCGUAGAUCAGCAUGCUACGGUGAAUACGUUCCCGGGUCU
RNAcentral lists this ribosomal RNA (1372 nucleotides) under uncultured bacterium. Its description in RNAcentral is "bacterial SSU rRNA". It matches the Rfam family "Bacterial small subunit ribosomal RNA", at positions 28 to 1381 of the family's 1533-position model. The record is from RNAcentral.